RNAcentral lists this ribosomal RNA (442 nucleotides) under uncultured bacterium. RNAcentral's name for it is "partial 16S ribosomal RNA". It matches the Rfam family "Bacterial small subunit ribosomal RNA", at positions 338 to 795 of the family's 1533-position model. The record is from RNAcentral.
CCUACGGGUGACAGCAGUGGGGAAUCUUGGGCAAUGGGCGCAAGCCUGACCCAGCAACGCCGCGUGAAGGAAGAAGGCUCUCGGGUUGUAAACUUCUUUUUAGAGGGAAGAGCAGAAGACGGUACCUCUUGAAUAAGCGAUGGCUAACUACGGGCCAGCAGCCGGGGCAAUACGGAGGGGGCAAGCGUUGUCCGGGUUUCCUGGGUGUAAAGGGCGUGCAGCCGGGAAGACAAGUCAGAUGUGAAAUCCCGCGGCUCAACCGCGGAACUGCAUUUGAAACUGUCUUUCUUGUGUACCGGAGAGGUCAUCGGAAUUCGUUGUGUAGCGGUGAAAUGCGUAGAUAUAAGGAAGAACACCAGUGGCGAAGGCGGAUGACUGGACGGCAACUGACGGUGAGGCGCGAAAGCGUGGGGAGCGAACAGGAUUAGAUACCCUAGUAGUC